AGGACGAACGCUGGCGGCGUGCUUAACACAUGCAAGUCGAGCGGAAAGGCCACUUCGGUGGUACUCGAGCGGCGAACGGGUGAGUAACACGUGAGUAAUCUGCCCCCCACUUCGGGAUAGCCACCGGAAACGGUGAUUAAUACCGGAUAUGACACAUGGUCGCAUGGUUGUGUGUGGAAAGUUUUUCGGUGGGGGAUGUGCUCGCGGCCUAUCAGCUUGAUGGUGAGGUAAUGGCU
RNAcentral lists this ribosomal RNA (236 nucleotides) under uncultured soil bacterium. RNAcentral describes it as "partial 16S ribosomal RNA". It matches the Rfam family "Bacterial small subunit ribosomal RNA", at positions 26 to 265 of the family's 1533-position model. The record is from RNAcentral.